CCUGAAACUGGAGAAUUUCCACUUUUACGGUUAAUUAAGCCCCAACGACAUGCCAGACGGAUGAUACAAAGAUGAGUGAGAAAGUGACCCUUUCGAGGAGCUCACGAUCUGAUUCGGAAGAAAGGGGUUGACUUGCAAAAUUAAAAUAUAUACGUGCUCUGUGCUGUAAGGAAGUACUGGGGAGCACAGAAGAGGGAACGGCUCUGUAUCAGCGAGAUCUGAAAGCGCUUGUAGGUUUCUUUUAAAGAAUAAUAUACUGCAGAUUGGUUAUUCAUUCUGUAUCAUCUUGCACUUUGGAAAAGAAAAAGACAUGCCGAUCUCACAACAACAAAGAUAAGUUCAUCGGUGCCUUGUAAUCUGCAUUGAGAAUGUUGAACAGUAUUUACAGGCUUUAUAAGUCAUGUUUCUUUCUGUUCAGUAACUUAAUCUUAAAAGGAGACACAAUUUUACAAGUCAUAACUUUUCUCAACAAGUCCCACUUGAAAAAGACAUACCCAAAGGUCAAAACCUUUGCUCUAUUCAGGGCGACGAAAGGUAACGAUUAUCCCCAAUGUUUAUUCCUCAAAUACACAGUUUAUUCUCCGAAUUUACAAGUGCCUUUACUUUAUCUCUUAGUUCUCACCUCUCGGAACUGAAAUUUUCAUUAUUUUUGUUUCUCACGACAUCAUAGUGUUCAUCUAGUGUCUUAAACUCCACAUGCCCCAAACUAAAAUUAAGAGUUCCGCUCCUGCUCUGCCUCCUGACACACAGGGACACCGACAAAAGCCUCGUCUUUCCUUUCUUCCUAUUCACUGCGAUCUUUAAAGUCACGACUCUGGAAUCAUCCAAGACUCUUCUUUCUCUUCCCCCACGAUCCGCACAUCCCUAGGUCCCAGUAUUCUAAGUAUCUCUUAAAUCGUUUCUUUCCAUCCCCCUCUACCUAGGUCAGCUUCUAACCACCCCUCACCUGGACCUUUGCAACAGUUUUUUAACUAGUUUCCCCGCCGUUGAUUCUCAACUUGCGAUUCAUCCUUUACACCAGAGGGAGGUUUCUGAAACCUAAGUUCGUGUUAUUGCUUUGCUUAAAACUCCUUAAGGCGCAACGUAAUGGAAAAAAGUAUUUUCUUCCUCGGGUACCACCUUCGUGAUUCUUUAAAGACUCUCUUUCUUCAAUUAGCUUCAUCCUAAGCAACGACAUUUGUGAAGUCGCAAGUAUGAUGUGUUCUUAUGUUCUUUUGUAAUAUGCAUUUCAAGAUAGAUACAUUCUCUUUGUGCUGUCUAAAAUCAUCUUUCAUAUGGGCCUUUUGAAAUAUUGACCGAGAAGAUGAGAUCUAACCCCUUGGUUAAGGCUGGAGAGCCUCUGCAGUGGGAUGCUCCUGCUUUUCCAUCCACAUCUGGCUGCUGUUCUGUUUGCAUCUUCUAUCCUAAAAUUGAAAUCCUGGCAGUUCCCCCAUCAUGUCUUAGGAUUGUUUCAUCUUUCUACCCCUUUGCUUGGAGCAGCCCUCCCGUUCUCUCCUGAGUGAACUUUUAUCCUUUAGAAAUCACUCCUCUUUUUGAAGUUUUCCCUGAAAGUCAGUCCUUCUGCGUCUGUAUCUACUUCUGUUGUAGCAUUUCCCACAGCCAAGGCUGCAGGCGCUUGAAAGCGGGGCCUAAGUCUUCGCUCUUUGCCUCACCCGUUCCUGGCACAGAACCAGGGCACAUAGUAGAGCUAAAAAAGUUUGCUAGUUAGCUGAAUCCCAGACUUCUAAAGUUCAAAUCAGGUUGGAGAGCCCACAGUCCAGGGAGUCAUUCUAAUACGUAAACAUCUUCAAUUAUUUCUAUGACAGUGAUCCGUAAAAGGACCCUGGAACAGAUCGAUCCUAGAGUUUUCUAUUUAAGAUGAGAGCUAUGGAUGCGAUAAGCCCGAAUUCACAAUGCCAAAGCUUACGCAGCCUAUUCUACGUCUCAGUUGACAUGGCUUGGUCGAUACAUAGGAAUUUGUGACAAAUCGUGUUGUUUCUGUUAAAAUACUUCCAGGAUUGGUGUACUUUCAAAGCUAUCUGAUUGAAACUGGAUUCUAAGGAAAUAAUCCAAAAUAGAGGAAAAAGCUGUAGUUGUAACGUUCCAAUGAACAUUUUCAUCGAGAGCAGCAAAAGAUUGAAAACAAAUGUCCAACUUCAGUGGUUCAGUAAAAGAUAGUACAUACGUUUGUUUAAAGGACUGUUUUUCUGCUGUCGAGAAAGCGAACACAAUAAUUUUAAGGGCUGAAGCAAAAAGGAAAAUUCUAUUCCUUAUUGAGAUGACGACAAGUAUGUUAAGAACAAUGACAUUUUCCAAAACUCGGAGGAACUACAUCACAGUGUUCUUGUUGGUCAUAGUAAGACGGAGAGAUAAUGGAGGUGGUUUUCUUCUGAGAAGGACUUUGGUCUCUCCAACCCCAGCUGGAGCGAGGACCUCAGGCAUCUCUUCCACCAGUUCAUGAAGAAAUGUGAGGAUGGCUCCUGGACGCAGAUUUCUGAGAAAGAUACGCUAGAUUUUUAUAAGAAAGCCUCCGAACUCUCCUUUCAGAGUAAGAACAGCCGCUCUCCCAUAAAGGAUAUUUAAAUAUCAAACGUAAAACUAACAGAUCGAAGCACUACUUACCAUUCGAAAAAGGAAGGCACGUGGCACCAGGGUUUCUGGACAGGCCAGGCAGAUCCGUGAAUUUUGCAGAUAAAGCCUCCUGCCGAGGAGACCACUGGCCACUGCUCUGUCUUGGCGCCAUAUUCAGUAAUCUCACUUUACCGUUGAUCCCGAUAUGGGGCUCUGUCACCUGAGGAAGCUCAGGACACUCAGGUCACCCCCUUCUCUCCCAGACUCAUAACUCCCAAAGCAACCUACCGCUCCUCCAACAGACAUGGUCCUUCCCGUGCUCUUGCGUGUGUGACCCUUUUAAUUGAGACUUUAGUUCUCGUGUACCCCCAGCCCCCAGCCCCCACCUCCCGCCUCCUGUUAUUAACACCACGCAUUAGCGUAGUGCAUUUGUUAUAUUUGAUGAGCCAGUAUCAAUACAUGAUUAUUAACCACGUAAUAAAGUCCGUAUUUUACUUAGGGUUUACUCUU
This is a long non-coding RNA of Pteropus alecto (black flying fox), 3060 nucleotides long. RefSeq lists it as uncharacterized. The transcript is spliced from 2 exons. The record is from RefSeq and is a predicted model, not a curated record. NCBI's taxonomy places the organism in Eukaryota, Metazoa, Chordata, Mammalia, Chiroptera, Pteropodidae.